AAUCUACAAACUUCCAGUGAAAACAAGGGUCGUUACACACAGCACGUAAGCUCACUUUGCAAGAGGUUUGCAUUCGCAGUUACCUAUCACAGAGCUAGAAGGACAGCUCGCAGACCUGCAAACUCGAGGGCAAGCAACCCUCUCCAUCCUCACAACUGGAUCAAGAGCACUAAAGGCUCCGAGCUCUUCCCGCAGGGAGGAAGGGCAGGCGGUAUCCCCGCGUCGUGUUGGUGCUGCUCCGCUCUCACCUGUUGUGGCCGCGGCCGAGGCCGGGCGCGUCCAGCCGAGAGGCAGCGCCGCCUCCGCCGAGAGCUCCGGGUGGAGCCGCCCCUCCUUCCCGUCCGCCCUCCCCCGGCUCCCUCAGCGCCCCGAGGCAUCUCGGCUGCUGCGCCGCUCGCUCCGCUGGGAGAGAGAGGAGGCGGCCCGAGCUUAGCGGCGCUGGGAGCGGAGCAAAUCACAGUUCAGAGCACUGGGCACCUUUGGCAGGGCUGCACACAUGUCCCAAAAGCAGGGUAUUUGGAAACGCGCUCCUUUCUCCUGGCUCCCUGUAGUCCCCUCUCAUCCGUCCGCUCCUUUCUCCGUCCCCUUCGUUUCCCCUCGCACUCCCCCCCGCCGUUCCCGUCUCCUCUCCCUCGUGCCCCGGCUGACGCUGCCUUUCCUCCUCCUCCAGUUGGCGCCCCCCCAGGCGACAGCGCGGUUGACUGGUGCCUCUACCAGCUCAAUGGAGCCGCCGAGUUCGAGGUCUCCGAAGCCAUGAGACAAAUCAGCCUCUGCCAAAGAACAUCUCCAGCAGCAGCAAGAGGCUGUGCCUCUCUGCUACACUGAUGCAUGUCUCUGUAGCAGCUUGUGAUCUAUAUUGUCUGUCAAAUGUCCAUCCUCAGUAAUCUUAUGGCAGGAAUCACUUCCUUUUACUCUGUGUUCACAAUAUACCAUAGCAGUGCCCUUGUUGACUGGGGCUAGGCAAUACUGGCUUUGUCAGCUCCAUCACACACAGAAAGCUCACUCAGUUCCAGAGAUGAUGACGAUUGUAUACAUCCUCUCUUAAAACCUUGAAAGAAACAUGUACUGAAACCAUGAAAUUAAAAGGUGGAACAAAUAAAAGAAGAUGGCAAAAACA
Molecule: long non-coding RNA, 1117 nt
Filed under: Coturnix japonica (Japanese quail)
Lineage: Eukaryota; Metazoa; Chordata; Aves; Galliformes; Phasianidae
Description: lncRNA (ENSCJPG00005018538.1)
Source: RNAcentral